GACGAACGCUGGCGGCGUGCCUAAUACAUGCAAGUUGAGCGCUGAAGGUUGGUACUUGUACCAACUGGAUGAGCAGCGAACGGGUGAGUAACGCGUGGGGAAUCUACCUUUGAGCGGGGGACAACAUUUGGAAACGAAUGCUAAUACCGCAUAAAAACUUUAAACACAAGUUUUAAGUUUGAAAGAUGCAAUUGCAUCACUCAAAGAUGAUCCCGCGUUGUAUUAGCUAGUUGGUGAGGUAAAGGCUCACCAAGGCGAUGAUACAUAGCCGACCUGAGAGGGUGAUCGGCCACAUUGGGACUGAGACACGGCCCAAACUCCUACGGGAGGCAGCAGUAGGGAAUCUUCGGCAAUGGACGAAAGUCUGACCGAGCAACGCCGCGUGAGUGAAGAAGGUUUUCGGAUCGUAAAACUCUGUUGGUAGAGAAGAACGUUGGUGAGAGUGGAAAGCUCAUCAAGUGACGGUAACUACCCAGAAAGGGACGGCUAACUACGUG
This 497-nucleotide ribosomal RNA is filed under the name uncultured bacterium. RNAcentral describes it as "partial 16S ribosomal RNA". It matches the Rfam family "Bacterial small subunit ribosomal RNA", at positions 28 to 507 of the family's 1533-position model. The record is from RNAcentral.